Molecule: ribosomal RNA, 498 nt
Filed under: uncultured bacterium
Lineage: Bacteria
Description: partial 16S ribosomal RNA
Rfam family: Bacterial small subunit ribosomal RNA
Source: RNAcentral
AUUGAACGCUGGCGGCAUGCCUUACACAUGCAAGUCGUACGGUAACGCGGGGCAACCUGGCGACGAGUGGCGAACGGGUGAGUAAUGUAUCGGAACGUGCCCAGUUGUGGGGGAUAACUGCUCGAAAGAGCAGCUAAUACCGCAUACGACCUGAGGGUGAAAGCGGGGGAUCGCAAGACCUCGCGCAAUUGGAGCGGCCGAUAUCAGAUUAGGUAGUUGGUGGGGUAAAGGCUCAACAAGCCAACGAUCUGUAGCGGGUCUGAGAGGACGACCAGCCACACUGGGACUGAGACACGGCCCAGACUCCUACGGGAGGCAGCAGUGGGGAAUUUUGGACAAUGGACGCAAGUCUGAUCCAGCCAUGCCGCGUGCGGGAAGAAGGCCUUCGGGUUGUAAACCGCUUUUGUCAGGGAAGAAACGCUCUGGGUUAAUACCUCGGGGUAAUGACGGUACCUGAAGAAUAAGCACCGGCUAACUACGUGCCAGCCGCCGCCGUAA